This 444-nucleotide ribosomal RNA is filed under the name uncultured bacterium. RNAcentral describes it as "bacterial SSU rRNA". It matches the Rfam family "Bacterial small subunit ribosomal RNA", at positions 19 to 507 of the family's 1533-position model. The record is from RNAcentral.
UUGGCUCAGAACGAACGCUGGCGGCAUGCCUAACACAUGCAAGUCGAACGAGGCCCUUCGGGGUUUAGUGGCGCACGGGUGCGUAACGCGUGGGAAUCUGCCCUUUGGUUCGGAAUAACAGCUGGAAACGGCUGCUAAUACCGGAUGAUGACGAAAGUCCAAAGAUUUAUCGCCAGAGGAUGAGCCCGCGUUGGAUUAGGUAGUUGGUGGGGUAAAGGCCUACCAAGCCGACGAUCCAUAGCUGGUCUGAGAGGAUGAUCAGCCACACUGGGACUGAGACACGGCCCAGACUCCUACGGGAGGCAGCAGUGGGGAAUAUUGGACAAUGGGCGCAAGCCUGAUCCAGCAAUGCCGCGUGAGUGAUGAAGGCCCUAGGGUUGUAAAGCUCUUUUACCCGGGAAGAUAAUGACUGUACCGGGAGAAUAAGCCCCGGCUAACUCCGUG